UACGUAGGGGCGAGCGUUAUCCGGAAUUAUUGGGCGUAAAGGGUUCGCAGGUGGUCUGUUAAGUCAGAUGUGAAAGGCAGUGGCUCAACCAUUGCAAGCAUUUGAAACUGGCAGACUUGAGUACAGGAGAGGAAAGCGGAAUUCCUAGUGUAGCGGUGAAAUGCGUAGAUAUCGGGAGGAACAUCGGUGGCGAAGGCGGGUAACUGGACUGCAACUGACGCUGAGGCGCGAAAGUGUGGGGAGCAAACAGGAUUAGAUACCCCCGUAGU
RNAcentral lists this ribosomal RNA (269 nucleotides) under uncultured prokaryote. Its description in RNAcentral is "partial 16S ribosomal RNA". It matches the Rfam family "Bacterial small subunit ribosomal RNA", at positions 524 to 794 of the family's 1533-position model. The record is from RNAcentral.